This 253-nucleotide ribosomal RNA is filed under the name uncultured bacterium. RNAcentral describes it as "partial 16S ribosomal RNA". It matches the Rfam family "Bacterial small subunit ribosomal RNA", at positions 524 to 776 of the family's 1533-position model. The record is from RNAcentral.
UACAGAGGUCUCAAGCGUUGUUCGGAUUCAUUGGGCGUAAAGGGUGCGUAGGCGGCGCGGUAAGUCGGGUGUGAAAUCUCGGGGCUUAACUCCGAAACUGCAUUCGAUACUGCCGUGCUUGAGGACUGGAGAGGAGACUGGAAUUUACGGUGUAGCGGUGAAAUGCGUAGAUAUCGGGAGGAACACCAGUGGCGAAGGCGGUUGCCUGGGGCUUUGCUGACGCUGAGGCGCGAAAGCGUGGGGAGCGAUCCGG